This 460-nucleotide ribosomal RNA is filed under the name uncultured ammonia-oxidizing beta proteobacterium. Its description in RNAcentral is "bacterial SSU rRNA". It matches the Rfam family "Bacterial small subunit ribosomal RNA", at positions 202 to 645 of the family's 1533-position model. The record is from RNAcentral. Lineage: Bacteria; Pseudomonadati; Pseudomonadota; Betaproteobacteria.
AAGUAGGGGAUCGUAAGACCUUGCGCUUUUGGAGCGGCCGAUGUCUGAUUAGCUAGUUGGUGGGGUAAUGGCCUACCAAGGCUACGAUCAGUAGUUGGUCUGAGAGGACGGCCAGCCACACUGGGACUGAGACACGGCCCAGACUCCUACGGGAGGCAGCAGUGGGGAAUUUUGGACAAUGGGCGCAAGCCUGAUCCAGCCAUGCCGCGUGAGUGAAGAAGGCCUUCGGGUUGUAAAGCUCUUUCAGCCGGGAAGAAAAGGUUGCGACUAAUAAUCGCAAUUCAUGACGGUACCGAAAGAAGAAGCACCGGCUAACUACGUGCCAGCAGCCGCGGUAAUACGUAGGGUGCGAGCGUUAAUCGGAAUUACUGGGCGUAAAGGGUGCGCAGGCGGUUUUGUAAGUCAGAUGUGAAAUCCCCGGGCUUAACCUGGGAACUGCGUUUGAAACUACAAAGCUUAG